This 465-nucleotide ribosomal RNA is filed under the name uncultured bacterium. Its description in RNAcentral is "partial 16S ribosomal RNA". It matches the Rfam family "Bacterial small subunit ribosomal RNA", at positions 28 to 507 of the family's 1533-position model. The record is from RNAcentral.
GACGAACGCUGGCGGCGUGCUUAACACAUGCAAGUCGAACGGAAAGGCCCCUUUGGGGGUACUCGAGUGGCGAACGGGUGAGUAACACGUGAGUAACCUGCCCUUGACUUCGGGAUAACUUCAGGAAACUGGGGCUAAUACCGGAUAGGAAUCCUUGCUGCAUGGUGGGGGUUGGAAAGCUUCGGCGGUUUUGGAUGGACUCGCGGCUUAUCAGCUUGUUGGUGGGGUAGUGGCUUACCAAGGCUUUGACGGGUAGCCGGCCUGAGAGGGCGACCGGCCACAUUGGGACUGAGAUACGGCCCAGACUCCUACGGGAGGCAGCAGUGGGGAAGAUUGCACAAUGGGCGGCAGCCUGAUGCAGCAACGCCGCGUGCGGGAUGACGGCCUUCGGGUUGUAAACCGCUUUCAGCAGGGGCGAAGCUUGUGGUGACGGUACCUGCAGAAGAAGCACCGGCUAACUACGUG